Molecule: long non-coding RNA, 223 nt
Filed under: Carica papaya (papaya)
Lineage: Eukaryota; Viridiplantae; Streptophyta; Magnoliopsida; Brassicales; Caricaceae
Description: long non-coding RNA (CPAP_LNC005323)
Source: RNAcentral
UAGGAUGUUUACUCAUAAUCUUUUAUCUCCCAACAUAUCAUGUUUCAUUCGAACUCUCACCAUAAGAGCAUAUACACUUAUCUCACUUGGUAAAUUCUUUAGUGAGGGAAACUCUUUCAAAUCUCAAGGUUCAAUCAUAUAGGACUCUUCAUCACUUCUCGAAAUGUUCAUCCAUAUAUUCGUUAUUCCUUACAUCUUAAAGAAGUCCAUGAGUUCUAAAAUA